Molecule: transfer RNA, 69 nt
Filed under: Romalea microptera (eastern lubber grasshopper)
Lineage: Eukaryota; Metazoa; Arthropoda; Insecta; Orthoptera; Romaleidae
Description: tRNA-Met
Rfam family: tRNA
About the family: Transfer RNA (tRNA) molecules are approximately 80 nucleotides in length.
Source: RNAcentral
AAAAAGGUAAGCUAAAUAAGCUAAUGGGUUCAUACCCCAUUUAUAGAGGUACUAAUCCUCUCCUUUUUA